Molecule: ribosomal RNA, 253 nt
Filed under: uncultured bacterium
Lineage: Bacteria
Description: partial 16S ribosomal RNA
Rfam family: Bacterial small subunit ribosomal RNA
Source: RNAcentral
UACAGAGGUCCCAAGCGUUGUUCGGAUUCACUGGGCGUAAAGGGUGCGCAGGUGGUCGGGUAAGUCUGAUGUGAAAUCCCGCAGCUUAACUGCGGAAUGGCAUUGGAUACUAUUCGGCUAGAGGGUUGGAGGGGGGACUGGAAUUCUCGGUGUAGCAGUGAAAUGCGUAGAUAUCAGGAGGAACACCGGUGGCGAAGGCGGGUCUCUGGACAGUUCCUGACGCUGAGGCACGAAGGUCAGGGGAGCAAACGGG